Long non-coding RNA from Solanum lycopersicum (tomato), 2255 nucleotides. RefSeq lists it as uncharacterized. NCBI's taxonomy places the organism in Eukaryota, Viridiplantae, Streptophyta, Magnoliopsida, Solanales, Solanaceae. The record is from RefSeq and is a predicted model, not a curated record.
CGCAGCCUCAACAACGUCAACCCAGAACAAGAGCGAAACCAGAAACACCAGCAGUACGCGACUCGUCCAAAACAGCCACGCAGUGCGCCCAUCGAAUUGAGUCUCGCACGUGUCUCUCUCCCUCGACCUGAUCCUCUUGAAAGUUGGAGGACAAGGCCAGGUGUCUCCAUCUCCUUAAAAGCUCGUUCUUGGCUCAAAAUCGGACGACUCUCCCCUCUUUUCUAUUUGAAAAUGAGGACGAUUUUCGGAGACCAAAGAAUACCCAAAAACUUUUGGGAAUUCUUUGUUCCACAAUUCAAAUUUUAAAACGUUUUGUGGCUUUUUGAGUUAAAGAGGUGGAAUCGUUUCCAAACUCGUUGUCCCGAUUUGCUGCUCAGCACAAGGUAAUCAUGUAUAUUUUCCUUCUUGCUAGUUUAAUUUAAUUUUCUCUGAUUAGAUUUUUCAUUGUGAAGGGUUUUCGUCUGAAUAUUUUUUAGUUAUCUUGUUGGCUUCUUGUCUUCAUAAUAUGAUUGGUAGUUUAGUGUUUUCAAUAUAUUAGAUUGUCUGUGUUUGAUUAUAUCCACAAAAACUUGCAGGUUUUCUUCAACUCUAUUGGAAAAUUAGAAUACCCCUUUUGUUUGAUUGUCAAUAUUUACAGUAAGUUGUAAUUAGAAUACCCCUUUUGUUUGAUUGUCAAUAUUCACAGUAAGUUGUGGAUGAUUAAUGUUCAAGUUUGUCACAUUCAUAUCAGAACAUGUGUUGUAGCUUUAAAAAAAAUAAUCCUUUCAUUUCAUGGUCUCACCUCUUUCACUUAUCACGUCAUUUUAUCCCUCUGAUUGCAUUAUUCUAUCUCGUUAUUUGUGAAAUUUUGUUUGAGAUGAUUAGCUUUUCGUAGUUGUGUUGCUUCUAUGGUUGUUGUUUAAAUUAUUGUUGGCCUGGUAUCAUAGGGAUCAUCUCUAUUUCACUCUCCUGUUACAUGAGUCUGGUCCAUAAAAAUGAAAAAUAAAAUUGUUUCCUUACAAAGUUGUUUUGAGAAGCAUGCUUGGGUAUUUUAUAUCAUGUUUGUGCUUUCUUUCAGCAUUUGUUUCAUAAGAUAUUGACGGCUAUCAUCCUGCUUGCUUAAGUGAUAGUUCUGACCAGUUUAUUGUGCUUACAUUUAAGUGUUAGUUGGGUGUAAAUGGAGCCUGUAGCAGCUUGUUUGGACUGUUAUACUACUGUUUGAAUUAGUUUUCUGGUUGUUUCAUUGUUUGUUUAAAUUAUGAUCAGUUGGCGACUGAAAGGGUGCAAAACUCUAUGUUUAAUAACCUUUGUGCCUCUUCCGUGUAAUUGUUUAAGUUAGAGUAUGACAUUCAUAAUUAUUUCCAUUGCACUUCGUUACUUGCUCAAAUCUCUUAGCAACACCAUGUAGUUAGGAUGACUACGGUUAAGUUCCUUUAUUAGUUUUAAGAAAUUAUAUUUUAUUACUCUAAAAAUAUUGUUCACUCUGUUUUGGAUUUUUUACAUGAUGGUAACUAGAUCGUUUAUUUGACUUGAUAUUAUUCAUAUUGAGGUUCUUAUUUUACUCUUUUCUUUUCCUCCUUUUGCAUGAACACGCUUUCAGUGAAUGAAUCCAAUAGACUCCCCUCUCUUGCAUUUUCCUCUUAUUGAGUCAACCUUCUUCGGAGUUGUGAAAGGGAGCUAAUAUUAUUGGUUUAGACACCAAAAAAUACAGCAGUAGCAGUAGCCUAAAUGGCUAAAAGAAUAGCAUUUUAUCGUACUUGAUAAGUCCCAAAAAUUGCACUAAUUGAGGCAGAGUUACGAUAACCUCAUAAGGCUGAAAAUGAGGAGCAAAUUUGGGUUAAAAUUCCAAAUUAAUGAAGCAGUAGCAGCAGCCUUAGAAAGGCUAAAUUUUUUUUAAAAAAAGUUUUGGACCUUCAAAAGUCCAAGCCAAACGGCAACGACAUCAACCUGAAGGGCUGAGACUUGGGGGUGAAAUAAAAUUUCAGCCGCCCCCUCGUUUUCUUAUUCUCUUAUUUGCAUUGAUAUUAGUAUAAUUUCUUUAUUAUAGUUGAUUGUGAAAACCUAACAACUUUAAAAUUCUCUUCUUGACUUAGAUAAAAUCCCCACGGAGCUCCUGGAGUUUAGUUUAUCAAAUCUUUCUUUUGUAUCUUACAAUUGGUGGCGUUUCAAAUUUUCAUUUAUUCUUCAAACCCUUUUUAAGUUUGAUAAUUUAAGCUUAUAGAAUGACUUGAGAACAUUUUGUGCUCUUUCAUAGUUGUUAAAAAGCUUUGAAUCCA